RNAcentral lists this ribosomal RNA (433 nucleotides) under uncultured bacterium. RNAcentral's name for it is "partial 16S ribosomal RNA". It matches the Rfam family "Bacterial small subunit ribosomal RNA", at positions 29 to 507 of the family's 1533-position model. The record is from RNAcentral.
AACGAACGCUGGCGGCAUGCCUAACACAUGCAAGUCGAACGAGACCUUCGGGUCUAGUGGCGCACGGGUGCGUAACACGUGGGAAUCUGCCCUUUGCUUCGGAAUAACAGUUAGAAAUGACUGCUAAUACCGGAUGAUGUCGAAAGACCAAAGAUUUAUCGGCGAAGGAUGAGCCCGCGUAGGAUUAGGUAGUUGGUGGGGUAAAGGCCUACCAAGCCGACGAUCCUUAGCUGGUCUGAGAGGAUGAUCAGCCACACUGGGACUGAGACACGGCCCAGACUCCUACGGGAGGCAGCAGUGGGGAAUAUUGGACAAUGGGCGAAAGCCUGAUCCAGCAAUGCCGCGUGAGUGAUGAAGGCCUUAGGGUUGUAAAGCUCUUUUACCAGGGAUGAUAAUGACAGUACCUGGAGAAUAAGCUCCGGCUAACUCCGUG